CGAGAGCAUGCCUGUCUCAGCGUC
This 24-nucleotide ribosomal RNA is filed under the name Jaagichlorella sphaerica. Its description in RNAcentral is "partial 5.8S ribosomal RNA". The record is from RNAcentral. Lineage: Eukaryota; Viridiplantae; Chlorophyta; Trebouxiophyceae; Watanabeales; Watanabeaceae. RNAcentral also lists the same sequence under 13 other names.